AAUGAAUAUACUUUUGAUUCUUAUAAUUAUAUAGGUGUCUUUGCUACGGGGUACUUAUCCGGGCAGAGUCCUCAUUGAUUUCAGAUAAAUACCAAAAAUAGAAACAUGACAGUUACUUUUCAUCUCCUAGUAAUAAAGGAACUAAGUUCUCUACAAAUGCAUGAAACAAAAACUAACUUCUGCUUUUAGUCUCACUUGUCAUUUGUUCUGCUGUGAAAUAUGGAAAAAAAAA
Molecule: non-coding RNA, 232 nt
Organism: Pelobates cultripes (western spadefoot toad)
Lineage: Eukaryota; Metazoa; Chordata; Amphibia; Anura; Pelobatidae
Source: the annotation of a GenBank genome assembly